Molecule: long non-coding RNA, 404 nt
Organism: Gigantopelta aegis
Lineage: Eukaryota; Metazoa; Mollusca; Gastropoda; Neomphalida; Peltospiridae
Exons: 2
Source: RefSeq, a predicted model, not a curated record
UGGACUACGUUCUUCACAACCAGACUGCCAGGGACCGUCUCGAGUGGGUGAAGAAAACGAAAAUACCGGACGAGACCUAUUUCAACACCCUGAAUAGCAACCCGCAUCUUGGCGUGCUGGGGUCGGAUAAAGGUGAACCAGAGAAGUAUCUGUUGUCGAGGUUUAAGAAUUGGGGAGAGUUGCCGUGUGCCGGAAAGUUUGUAAGAGGUGUGUGCGUCCUAGGCGUUGGAGAUUUACAUUUCUUGGUGAAAGAGAAACAACUCUUUGCCAACAAAUUUCACCUGGAUUUUCAACCUUACGCCUUGGAUUGUAUCGAAGAAUGGCAUUACAACAGAACACGAGACGAAUAUUUAGGUGUUACAAACUUUGAUUAUAGUUACUAUAAAAAUCUGGAUUUUGUUAAA